UAUCAAUAAUUAGAGUGUGAAGUAAAUAAUCUUUCUUCUUCCACGCAUAACCAAAACCACCGGCGUUAACUAUUUCAACAGCGUACAAACUACGAAGGAAACUAAUCGGAAAUCCGCGAGAUUGUUCAACGUGUUGUCCGUUUAUCCGGUUCGGAUCGGGUCCCGAUAGGCACGGAUAAUCAACGUUCGGUUGGUUUUCGUCUGUUGUACCCUGUCGGAGGUUGUUGUUGAAUUUGUCGGAAACAUGACAGCUGUCAGGCAAAAGAAAAAAAACGAAACUCAACAAAAAAACAAGGAGAGUUUUGAUUGCUUGUUCGUAUCGUUUUUGCUUCACAUCGGCUAGUCAGUAGGAAAUUGUAUUCGCCAGCAAUAAAAACAAUUGAAAUUUAGUUUUAUCUCGAAUAUCGGUGAGCUGUAUCACAUGUGACUAGAAAAGUUGCAUGGUUGAGGCCAAUCAUUUUCCUUGUUUGUUAACGUGAGUGUGUCUUGAAAAAAUAGUGCAAGGGUUCAUGCCCUCUACAGCAUUUUCUCCUGCGUUCGUGUAUGUUGUAUGUGAGAAAAUUGGUUGAAAGUCUACAUUGUUAGGGGUAGCUAAUUAUUCUACUUUGGAAAGUGAACUCGAACUAAACUCUAAGAUCGAGCAACCAUCAACGCCAAGCUGGAACGGGAAAGGAAAGCACAAAUUAACAAAAGUAGUUCCUCUACCUUAGCGAGAGCUGAGAGUGGCACUGCGGAGGUGGUUGAGGCGUCGACGGCAACGGAUACGAGCGCAACGAACGUCGACAAGAAAAAGAUGAACGGUUUAAGCUUCAGUGAGCUCUGUUGUUUGUUUUGUUGCCCUCCUUGUCCUGGACGGAUUGCAUCGAAGUUGGCCUUUCUACCACCUGAAGCCAGCUACGAUCUGAAACCGGAAGCUGACAGUACGAACAGCAAGUUUACCCUGACGCUACACGAUAAGGCAGACUGGCAGUAUACCGACCGCGAGAAGGAAUGUUUCGAAGUGUUCUACGCCCGGUCCUCCCGAGGCAAUAGAAUCGCUUGUUUAUUCGUAAAAUGUAGCGCUAAUGCUCGGUUCACACUCCUUUUUUCCCACGGUAAUGCUGUCGAUCUCGGUCAGAUGACAACGUUUUUCAUCGGUUUAGGUCAACGGAUUAAUUGUAACAUUUUUAGCUACGAUUAUUCCGGGUACGGUCAAAGCUCUGGAAAACCCACCGAGAAGAAUCUCUAUGCGGACAUCGAUGCAGCAUGGCAUGCCUUACGAACGCGGUACGGUAUCAGCCCAGAGAAUAUCAUUCUGUACGGACAAAGUAUCGGCACAGUACCGACAGUGGAUUUGGCGAGUCGUUAUGAGGUCGGUGCAGUCAUUCUACAUUCGCCGCUAAUGUCAGGUAUGCGUGUAGCCUUUCCUGCCACAAAACGCACAUGGUUUUUCGACGCAUUUCCAAGUAUCGAUAAAGUUCCGAAGGUCGCAUCACCAGUACUGGUGAUACACGGUACCGAAGAUGAGGUGAUCGAUUUUUCUCAUGGCAUGACAAUCUACGAAAAGUGUCCCCGCGCUGUGGAACCGUUAUGGGUAGAAGGAGCCGGUCACAAUGAUGUGGAAAUGUAUAGCCAAUAUUUGGAGCGGCUGAAGCAAUUUGUGUCGGUUGAGCUGGUCAACUGACAAAAGGUGAACAAACGCUCCAGCGGCAACGGCAGUGGCAAGCGUACCAAAGGUGAUGGUGACGGUCGAAAGGAGGCAGGAAAUGAUGAGGAUGACAAGGAAGAGGACGAGGAUGAAGAUUUAAAUACAGAUGAUGAAAUAUUAAAUGCAUCAAUUACACUAAGCUCAAAUUCUACCAAUGAUGCAUCGGCAAUAGAAAAGCUUCUCUAGCAUCAGGAGCCUGGCGGAGGGAGUGG
Molecule: RNA transcript, 1899 nt
Organism: Anopheles funestus (African malaria mosquito)
Lineage: Eukaryota; Metazoa; Arthropoda; Insecta; Diptera; Culicidae
Gene name: alpha/beta hydrolase domain-containing protein 17B-like
Exons: 4
Source: RefSeq, a predicted model, not a curated record